GGCUUUAUUUAAAUUGUUUUGAAAACAAUUUUUAAGAAAUUCUUUAAAGUCU
Molecule: transfer RNA, 52 nt
Filed under: Lycosa shansia
Lineage: Eukaryota; Metazoa; Arthropoda; Arachnida; Araneae; Lycosidae
Description: tRNA-Ser
Source: RNAcentral